UAUCAAAUGCUCAGGUUGUUCAAAUGUGCAUCUUUACUGUAGUUGUGUUGGUAGUAAAAAAGUUUCUUUGGAAGAGCGCUCCUAUAUAAAAGACCAAAGGGAGAAAAUUGGUACUAAAGGAAAGUUUCAAAUAGGAGGUAUUGAUAACUCUGUUUUAUCACCUACCUC
This is a non-coding RNA of Hydra vulgaris (swiftwater hydra), 168 nucleotides long. The record is from RefSeq and is a predicted model, not a curated record. Lineage: Eukaryota; Metazoa; Cnidaria; Hydrozoa; Anthoathecata; Hydridae.